This 772-nucleotide ribosomal RNA is filed under the name uncultured prokaryote. RNAcentral's name for it is "bacterial SSU rRNA". It matches the Rfam family "Bacterial small subunit ribosomal RNA", at positions 28 to 818 of the family's 1533-position model. The record is from RNAcentral.
GAUGAACGCUGACAGAAUGCUUAACACAUGCAAGUCGAUUCGAUUUACCUUCGGGUAUUGAGGAUGGCGGACGGGUGAGUAACGCGUAAGGAACUUGCCUCUUGGUCUGGGACAACUGUUGGAAACGACAGCUAAUACCGGAUAUUAUGAGAUUCUCGCAUGGGAAACUUAUGAAAGCUAUAUGCGCCAAGAGAGAGCCUUGCGUUCCAUUAGCUAGUUGGUGGGGUAACGGCCCACCAAGGCGACGAUGGAUAGCCGGCCUGAGAGGGUGAACGGCCACAAGGGGACUGAGGCACGGCCCUUACUCCUACGGGAGGCAGCAGUGGGGAAUAUUGGACAAUGGGCCACAAGCCUGAUCCAGCAAUUCUGUGUGCACGAUGAAGGUCUUCGGAUUGUAAAGUGCUUUCAGUUGGGAAGAAGAAAGUGACGGUACCAACAGAAGAAGCGACGGCUAAAUACGUGCCAGCAGCCGCGGUAAUACGUAUGUCGCAAGCGUUAUCCGGAUUUAUUGGGCGUAAAGCGCGUCUAGGCGGAAAAAUAAGUCUGAUGUUAAAAUGCGGGGCUCAACUCCGUAUUGCGUUGGAAACUGUUUUUCUAGAGUACUGGAGAGGUGGGCGGAACUACAAGUGUAGAGGUGAAAUUCGUAGAUAUUUGUAGGAAUGCCGAUGGAGAAGUCAGCUCACUGGACAGANACUGACGCUAAAGCNCGAAAGCNNGGGGAGCAAACAGGAUUAGAUACCCUGGUAGUCCACGCCGUAAACNAUGAUCACUA